Molecule: ribosomal RNA, 253 nt
Filed under: uncultured bacterium
Lineage: Bacteria
Description: partial 16S ribosomal RNA
Rfam family: Bacterial small subunit ribosomal RNA
Source: RNAcentral
UACGAAGGGGGCUAGCGUUGCUCGGAAUCACUGGGCGUAAAGGGUGCGUAGGCGGGCCUUUAAGUCAGGGGUGAAAUCCUGGAGCUCAACUCCAGAACUGCCUUUGAUACUGAGGAUCUUGAGUUCGGGAGAGGUGAGUGGAACUGCGAGUGUAUAGGUGAAAUUCGUAGAUAUUCGCAAGAACACCAGUGGCGAAGGCGGCUCACUGGCCCGAUACUGACGCUGAGGCACGAAAGCGUGGGGAGCAAACAGG